Molecule: ribosomal RNA, 406 nt
Filed under: uncultured bacterium
Lineage: Bacteria
Description: partial 16S ribosomal RNA
Rfam family: Bacterial small subunit ribosomal RNA
Source: RNAcentral
AUUGAACGCUGGCGGCAGGCCUAAAACAUGCAAGUCGAGCGAGUGGCGGACGGGUGAGUAAUGUCUGGGAAACUGCCCGAUGGAGGGGGAUAACUUCCGGCAACGGUAGAUAAUCACGCAUACUAACAGGUGUGCCCAGGUGGGAUGAGCGUUGUGGUGAGGUAACGGCUGACCAAGGCGACGAUCGCUAACUGGGCUGAGAGGAUGAUCAGCCACACUGGAACUGAGACACGGUCCAGACUCCUACGGUAGGCAGCAGUGGGGAAUAGUGCACAAUGGGCGCAAGCCUGAUCAAGCCAUGCCGCGUGUGUGAAGAAGGACUUCGGAUUGUAAAUCACUUUAAGUGGGGAGGCGUUACCAUCAGAAGAAGCACCGGCUAACUCCGUGCCAGCAGCCGCGGUAAUCC